AGGAAAAGAAACUAACAAGGAUUCCCCUAGUAACGGCGAGUGAAGCGGGAAGAGCUCAAAUUUAAAAUCUGGCAGUGUAUUCUGUCCGAGUUGUAGUCUAGAGAAGCAUCAUCCGUGCUGGACCAUGUACAAGUCUCUUGGAACAGAGCGUCAUAGAGGGUGAGAAUCCCGUCCUUGACAUGGACUCCCAGUACUUUGUGUUGUGCUCUCAACGAGUCGAGUUGUUUGGGAAUGCAGCUCAAAAUGGGUGGUAAAUUCCAUCUAAAGCUAAAUAUUGGCGAGAGACCGAUAGCGAACAAGUACCGUGAGGGAAAGAUGAAAAGCACUUUGGAGAGAGAGUUAAACAGUACGUGAAAUUGUUGAAAUGGAAACGCUUGAAGUCAGUCGCGUUCUCUGGGAUUCAGCCUGGCUUUUGCUUGGUGCAUUUCCCGGUCUACGGGCCAGCAUGAAUUUUGACCAAUGGAAAAAGGCUUGGGGAAUGUGGCACCUUCGGGUGUGUUAUAGCCCUUUGUCACAUACGUUGGUUGGGAUUGAGGUCUUAGUGCACGCUUCGGUUGUGCUUUGAUGCUGGCGUAAUGGCUUUAAACGACCCGUCUUGAAACACGGACCAAGGAGUCUAACAUGUCUGCAAGUGUUUGGGUGCAAAACCCGAGCGCGAAAUGAAAGUGAUAGUUGGGAACCUCUUUAGAGGGGCACCGACGCCCGGACCAGACCUUCUGUGACGGAUCCGAGGUAGAGCAUAUAUGUUGGGACCCGAAAGAUGGUGAACUAUGCCUGCAUAGGGUGAAGCCAGAGGAAACUCUGGUGGAGGCUCGUAGCGAUUCUGACGUGCAAAUCGAUCGUCAAAUGUGGGUAUAGGGGCGAAAGACUAAUCGAACCAUCUAGUAGC
This 889-nucleotide ribosomal RNA is filed under the name Rhizoctonia solani. RNAcentral describes it as "LSU rRNA". It matches the Rfam family "Eukaryotic large subunit ribosomal RNA", at positions 54 to 951 of the family's 3401-position model. The record is from RNAcentral. Lineage: Eukaryota; Fungi; Basidiomycota; Agaricomycetes; Cantharellales; Ceratobasidiaceae.